GCCACGAAGUUGCCAAUGAGUGGCGCGACGCACAUAGGUUCGCGUUGCCAGUCACCGACGGAGCUUGAUCGUCUACGUGCCUCUUUAAAUCAGCAAGUUUACAGUUGUGAUCGAGAACAUUUUUCCAAUCACAAUCGAAUAUCUUUGAUGCUUCCUGUAUUGUCUCAAAAAUGAUAUUUUAAUAUUUGUGUAACUUAAAUUCAACAUAAAUUCUGAUAGCAACGUUGAAUAUGUCUAAAAUCGCUCUGAAACUAUAUCGAUCCAAUGUUCGGGUGAAGUGAAUACGAACGUGUAGCUGUGUAGAAUUGUGUAGCGUCGUCGCGUCAUUCCGCGCCAUUCGCCGAUUUGUUUUGACAUGUGUGUGUUCUGCCAUAUUGGAUUAACACGUCGUAUAUUAAGGACUAAAUAGGCGCGAGUUUCGCGCUAAAAAGAGCAAUACUUUUUCGGGACAACAAUGGAUCGUACAACGAGAAUCGCGUGGAUCAUUUAAGGUCGGGGGCGAUCAAUGCCCGAUGGCGUGGACUGGAACGCAACGUUGGAGAAAUCCUGCUCCAGAAGGUGACGAUGUACAACGAUCGAUCGAGCUGCUGGACAAAGUGCUCUCAGAGUACGACGAGCACGAAGCAGAGGGCGAAGGUGGUGGAGGCGUCGGCGUCGGCGUCGGCAGUGGCGGUGGCGGCGGUGGUGACGGUAGUGGAGGUGGGAGCGGCGGAGGUGUUGGGGAUUGUGGCAGCAGCACCGAACCAAGUAUUGGUCUCACACCUGACGACGAAAGUCCGUCCUUAGGACAUCAAUCCGAGGACGACGGUUACAUGAGUAUGAAUGGACGGAAAGCGAAGAUGGCUCUGGUAGCACUACGUCCGGUUCCAGAUUGUCCAGAGCCACAGGAUCUUGCGGGUAUAUCUACCCAAGAAUUUCCACCACCGCCGGAAGAAGCCGAACGAAUCAUUUCUACUUUGUUGCCCAUGGUAUCGCCUGGAAAUUCUUCAAAACGAAACGGCCAUCCAUCAACUCGUCGAAGCGGACGACAACAGUGGAUGAUAGCUAUGGAGGAUAGUAUACGACACGGAAACGGUACUGUUACCACUCAAACAACUCUCCCUAAAACUCGACACCAGAGACCAUAUGGAUGGGAAAAUGGUAAUGGUGAACCAUUAAAAUUAGCUCAACCUCCAAGUCCACCAAGUAAAUUCGCCAGCUUACCAUACGAUGGUAAAGUGUCGUUCGGUUGGAUCCCACCUCGAACCAAUCCAACGACCAUAGAGAAGCAUCGCGAGGUCAGACGUCGAUCCUCCGAGGAGGAGGGACUAGAAGGGAAUAACAAAAACCAUCGACAGAAUUUUGAGAAGGAUCGAACGUCGCAUUUGCGAAAACAACGUCAAAACAAUGAGAUUAUGAAAUCGAGCAGUGUAGAGGAUCGAUUGUUGAUGAAUCACGAACAAUCGGAACAAAACGGUCGUAGAAGGAACGAUUCUGAUUCGAGUGAAGGAAGAUUCUCGAGAAACUCCGAAUCCGAGAGAUCCUCGAUCCCACGCUCGAGUUCGAUCAGUGUCGAAAGAUUUUCCAUGAGAGCGACAUGCGGAUCCUCCGAUUUUUCAAGGGCGAACUCGAUCUCGAACGAGAGAUUCCAUUCUUCAGAUUUCUCGAUAGCCGUGGCCAGUGCCAGCUCGAAUGAUCGUGUUUCCGUGCCGACAUCCGAACCUUUUUCGAUUCGAAACCUCGACUUUGUUUCGUUUUCUUUACCGACGAGAACCGAUUCUAAUGAAAGAUUCUCGGCCCCAACCUCUGACAGAUGUUCCGAAGAGCGUUAUUCCGACAUGUUCUCCACCAGAAACUCGGAUUUCUCGACCAGAAACUCGACGGAUUUUAGAACUCAAUCCGAAGAGGAACGGUUUUCCGAUGAUUCAUUGGAAGAACUUUUACCUCCUCCUCCUCCGAUCAGCAAGAGGCAUUCCAUCGCUUGGGAAGUACCUCUGGAAGAUGAUCCUUUAUACGCUCCAGGAAGUACCAAAGUGAUCGGUAGGAGACGGCGUAAGAGCAGCGAUGUGUCCAGUGUUGGAUCAGCAUCCAAACUUCGCGAUUUCGACGAUUGGCAAGAUCCACGAUUAUCGACUACCGAUGAUGAUUUAAUCUCUCCAUAUUCGGACUCUUCGACAAAUGAACUUGAUCAGAUACGGCCACAAGAUUUAACGAAAAAUGGUACCUACGUGAUACGCCGUGGUCGAAAGAAAGAACGAAAAGGAUUGCCAAAAGCUCCUACCAAAACUAAAAGUUUAUCCUUCGAGAACAGCGAGGAGAAUCCGUUGUCCAACGUGAAACGAUACUCGAGUACCUUUGAUAACAUCAGAAGUCUUUUAAGGGAAAAUAAAAUGGACGAACCGAUCGGACGAGACGAUCCGCCAAUAGAAUUUGCGCCAUCUGUUCCGCCCGAUUUGGUCAGAGUAGUCUCACUUCCGGCGAUUAACGAUGAAACCGAUAAUUGGCCACGGGAAUUGGAAGUCACAGUUGAAGAGGAAGAAAGUUCAGAUCUCUCGGACAAAGAUAAGAAGACUCGAGAAAUAUACGAAUUGAUCCAAUUAUCAUCCUCAUUAUCAUCGAAUGACAAGCCUGAGAAAGAUCUGGCUGAAUCUGUAAAUCAAGAAAAUAAUGAGUCAAAUAGUACAUGUAAUGGAGUUUCUUUUUCAACUUCUAAUAGUUAUUCUAAGGGAUUUAGUCUAGCUAUAACACCACCUGGCGGGAACGCAUUCAUCGAAGAAUCAAAUGCGAGAAAAUCGCCUAAUUCCAGCCUUGGUAAUGAAAAUCGGUUAGCAUCCAAGAUUCCGGUAAAUUUAUUAAUUGAAGAUCAAAUUGUAAAAAAAGCUUUGAAGGAAAAUCGACGACAAUUAGAGAAAGUGAGUGAUGCUAUAAAAGAGAUUGAGAGCGUGAAGAACAGUGAAUCUUAUUCGGAGAAUAAACAACGAUGGAUCCGUAGUGGAGAUGCGAAACAACCAUUAACGAGAAAAACUAGUCUCGAUAACGAAUCCAAUGAACGUGUCACCGCAGAUGCUAGAGCGAAAAAACAACUUGAUUCAGAUCUUGAUUCAGAUUCAGCAUCUAAGACCAGUCCAGAAACGACAGAUAUCGAGGGAAGAAGAAUAAAUGGAACAGAUAUUUAUGCAUCAGGGAAAAGAUUGCGACAGAAUGGUGUCGUUGAUGGUCAUAAGAACGAUCAAAAGCAAAUCGAAAAUGUGAUCGACGCCAUUCUUGAGGAUUCCAAAAAUCCAGAUUUUCAGGUAAGUGUAGAAGUUCUCGAAUUUCCUCCGUUACCACCUUCCCCUGUAGAAGAAGCAGAUGAGGAAAGCUCGGACAUCGGUCAGAGUGCCAUGAUUGUUUCGAAACCAAAAAGUCAUAGCAAUCGAACAAUGGAAUAUAGACCUAGAGUGCCACCUCAUCGUGGCCCUGUUACUACCAAUCAUUCGUUCUCAGAUUCGAAAGAUCAACAAAUAUCUCUCAAUACCAGAUCCAUGGAUGCUGGAUUCUCUCGGGGUAAAAGAACACCUACUGCCACCACUUCCAGACGAGAGCAAAUACCAGUAGAACGAAGAACUUUGCCUACGGAUUUACCAGGACCAUCGCGACGACGGCCUUUUACAAAGAAACACUCACCAUCUGCAGAACCAUGCUCAUCUGUUGGAAAUGGCAAUUGCAGUGGUAAUACUGUCACAAACGGAGUUAACAGUGGAGCUUGUAGUAGUACUAGCGGUGGAACCAGUAGUAAUAUAGCAACCAGUACCAGUGGGAUGCAAACUUCCUGUUCGCUUCCGGAAACUCCUGUUUUUGCUAGAGGAAGCGAUAUUCCUAGAACUCCUCAGCAUGCCAGCAAUCCUACGCAAAUGCGUCGGCAACCUGGUUGGUAUGCCCCAACCUCGGCUACCACCGGGUAUCGCAGGAAUAAUCCGGGUCUGGAGCAAGCGAUAAUCGGGACAGAAUUAUUGCGAUUAGCCGGUGGCCCGAAUCGAGGAUGGUAUCCAACAAGGAAGGCGAACCAACCACGACCAGCUUCGAUCGAACAUCUUGAACGACUGAACAAUGCGUACGAUCCACGCUUGGCAGGUUCCGGAGACCAGAGGAAACCAUUGACUCUACCAACAAACAUCACACCGAACAAAUACUUCGGCCAAAGUAAGCACAGCUCCGCCUCCAGUACUCGCGAGGCGCUACGGAGGGUCACUAGCUUGCUCAUCAAGAAAGGAAGUGGAAGCAAAGAUGGAAAAGGUGGGAAAGAUAAUGCAUCACCGUGUGGUCCUUAUGCAGCGGCCGAGUGUGGGGACGCACCUAAAAAGAAAGGAUUCUUCAAAGGUUUCUGGAAGAGAUCACGUCAUUAUUCAUUGGAGAACCAAUAGCCCAGGUUAGGCGGUAGGGUGAUGGGCCACCAGCAACGACAGACAUCGCGGCAACAACACCAUUAUCGACAACACGUCGCUACAAGCGCUUUGACGCACAGUGCUUGUUGCUGCAUCGUCCAGUAGCCUCGGUCCCGUUUCGUGGUAGAACCAGCGACAAGGUUCGCGUUCUUUCGUCCAUUUCAUCGAGCUUUUAUUCCGCCCGAUCAGUGGUCUCCGAAUACAACAAGCUACGUCAAUCCGUGGGUAAAAUCAUUUUGCGUAUUUUAUGUUUUUCAAUUCUCUUUGAUUUCUUUUCCUUCUCUUCUCCAUCUUUCCCCCACAUUCUCUUUUCCCUUUUCUCUAUUUCAUUCUAUUUUUUUUUUUUGUUCAAUCUCAUUUCUCAUUUCGUUACAUCAUGAUACAAGUAUUAUGUAUAUUAUAUUGUUUAGCUCCUUUCGCACAACUCGUUUGUUCGUUUCAGCAUUUUACUUUAAAGCGUGAAACAGAAUAGAAGCAAUAAUGUAAAGUGCUGCGCGAAUCGUGUCGAUUUUAUCUCCAUCUGGCGUUUCAAAUCAAAUCAUUUUUCGCCGUUCGAUAUUCUUUGAUCAAAUAAGCAACUUAAGUAAAUGUUAUAUAUAUUUACUUUUAUUCGAAAGAUUUGAAUGAUGAUAUUUUCAAAUUUGUUCCUUUAUUUUUUCAAUUAUUAUUAUUUUUUUUUUUUUUCCUUUUUCAACGCGAACCGAAAGUGUUGAAAACGAACACGACAUCCAUAGCGAUUUCUCGCAAUAACCGUAGGCUUCGCUUUCGAGAUGCGCACGCGCGCCCUCUUCCGUAUCUCGAGCGGUAAAAAGUUGGAUAAUUUUCGGAUCGAGAGAGGUAACCGCCGAUUAAAUCGUAAUAAUCUCAUCGGGGUGGAAGGUUAGAUCAAUCGUUUGGAACGGGCAGCUGUUUGAUUAGCAAUGCCAAAAAUACAGUAGUCGGCUUUCUAAUUGACGCAACGACGAUCGACGAUCAUCGUGGUUAGUCAUCCGGUCGACAAGUCGCGACCGAUCGCGAGCAUCAGUCACCUAGGCGUUUCUUUUCCAUCAUCUUCCUUGUGUAUCCAACGCGCGAGCACGUUUAUAGAAAGUGAGUAAUAAAUUAUAAGUUAUCCAGUAUUCGAGUACACGAAUAUUCAAUACGUGUUAGAUUGCGUUAGAUUAUAUAUUAUGGCACAAGC
Molecule: unclassified non-coding RNA, 5583 nt
Filed under: Apis dorsata (giant honeybee)
Lineage: Eukaryota; Metazoa; Arthropoda; Insecta; Hymenoptera; Apidae
Description: uncharacterized LOC102677413, transcript variant X4
Source: RNAcentral